ACGGACAUAUUUCGAUGAAACACUGGUUCUUGUACGAUUAUCGAAGUUAAGCAACGUCACAUGUGUGUGGUACUUAGAUGGGUGACCGCUUGAGAAUAUCAGGUGCUGUAA
Molecule: non-coding RNA, 111 nt
Organism: Acanthosepion pharaonis
Lineage: Eukaryota; Metazoa; Mollusca; Cephalopoda; Sepiida; Sepiidae
Source: the annotation of a GenBank genome assembly